GCUCCCGUAGCUCAGCGGAACCAGAGCACGCGCGUCCUAAGCGCAAGGUCGCAGGUUCGAAUCCUGCCGGGGGCU
Molecule: transfer RNA, 75 nt
Filed under: Myxococcus fulvus
Lineage: Bacteria; Pseudomonadati; Myxococcota; Myxococcia; Myxococcales; Myxococcaceae
Also listed under: 4 other names
Description: tRNA-Arg
Rfam family: tRNA
About the family: Transfer RNA (tRNA) molecules are approximately 80 nucleotides in length. Their secondary structure includes four short double-helical elements and three loops (D, anti-codon, and T loops).
Source: RNAcentral